Leptidea sinapis is the source of this 811-nucleotide long non-coding RNA. RefSeq lists it as uncharacterized. The transcript is spliced from 2 exons. The record is from RefSeq and is a predicted model, not a curated record. NCBI's taxonomy places the organism in Eukaryota, Metazoa, Arthropoda, Insecta, Lepidoptera, Pieridae.
CGUAAUUUAAGCAGUGGUUGUCAAUCUUUUUAACUGUGGUUACUGUUAAGGUUAUAUUUUGAAUUUUGUAAUAUGUACUUGUAAAUAGACAAUUUUACCCUGAAAUACGGGCUCUCAGUUUUAAGAAUAUUGUAUCAGAUUAAAAUAUAUAAUUUUUAUUGCGAAUUUAAUUGAUAACAAUUAAAAAAAAUAGUUUUUGAAAACGUUUAAAAUCUGUCGAAUUAAAAUUAAAUGAUAACUUAUUAAUAUGCAAUAAUUAUAGUGUCUUUAAAUGAAACAACAUUUUUAUUACGUUCGUUUGUUAAGAAGUGCCUGAUAUUUUUUUAGCGCGGUUUGUGGCAGAAACGGAGCCUUACGACGACGAUUUAACUCAGAUGGAGGAGGAGAGACCUACAAAGCGACCAUGCAUAGAAGGAAAUCUCCAAAAUUACACUGAAGACAACUCGAUGAAGGUUCUGUUUGAAAAUGAUUCUCAAGACUGGGAUGACGACAAUAAUAACUAUCAAACAUGUGACAUUUCAACAAAUACGAAAAACUUAAAUCUUACUGAAAGCAGCACUCAAACUAAUACUACAGGUGAUAAUUCUAAGUAUAUAGAAAUGGCCAACGAAAGCUUUGGCAUUUUUAUUGGACGUGAACUUGCCAAUGUGCCAAUGUUUAAAAGGCGCUUUGUUAUGUAUCAGAUUAUUAGACUGAUUGAAAACAAUUCAUAAAUUAAUAAUUAAGGUCUCUGAUAAUUGGGUUGAAAGUUAUGUAAUGAUAGAAACGCAAAAGAAUCUAUGAAUGAUUAUUAAUAAAUACUAUCAAUAUA